CUUUUACAAUGAAGAGUUUGAUCCUGGCUCAGGAUGAACGCUAGCUACAGGCUUAACACAUGCAAGUCGAGGGGCAGCAUUUUAGUUUGCUUGCAAACUGAAGAUGGCGACCGGCGCACGGGUGAGUAACACGUAUCCAACCUGCCGAUAACUCCGGGAUAGCCUUUCGAAAGAAAGAUUAAUACCGGAUGGCAUACGAAUAUCGCAUGAUAUUUUUAUUAAAGAAUUUCGGUUAUCGAUGGGGAUGCGUUCCAUUAGUUUGUUGGCGGGGUAACGGCCCACCAAGACUACGAUGGAUAGGGGUUCUGAGAGGAAGGUCCCCCACAUUGGAACUGAGACACGGUCCAAACUCCUACGGGAGGCAGCAGUGAGGAAUAUUGGUCAAUGGGCGAGAGCCUGAACCAGCCAAGUAGCGUGAAGGAUGAAGGCUCUAUGGGUCGUAAACUUCUUUUAUAUGGGAAUAAAGUUUUCCACGUGUGGAAUUUUGUAUGUACCAUAUGAAUAAGGAUCGGCUAACUCCGUGCCAGCAGCCGCGGUAAUACGGAGGAUCCGAGCGUUAUCCGGAUUUAUUGGGUUUAAAGGGAGCGUAGGUGGAUUGUUAAGUCAGUUGUGAAAGUUUGCGGCUCAACCGUAAAAUUGCAGUUGAAACUGGGAGUCUUGAGUACAGUAGAGGUGGGCGGAAUUCGUGGUGUAGCGGUGAAAUGCUUAGAUAUCACGAAGAACUCCGAUUGCGAAGGCAGCUCACUAGACUGUCACUGACACUGAUGCUCGAAAGUGUGGGUAUCAAACAGGAUUAGAUACCCUGGUAGUCCACACAGUAAACGAUGAAUACUCGCUGUUUGCGAUAUACAGUAAGCGGCCAAGCGAAAGCAUUAAGUAUUCCACCUGGGGAGUACGCCGGCAACGGUGAAACUCAAAGGAAUUGACGGGGGCCCGCACAAGCGGAGGAACAUGUGGUUUAAUUCGAUGAUACGCGAGGAACCUUACCCGGGCUUAAAUUGCAACAGAAUAUAUUGGAAACAGUAUAGCCGUAAGGCUGUUGUGAAGGUGCUGCAUGGUUGUCGUCAGCUCGUGCCGUGAGGUGUCGGCUUAAGUGCCAUAACGAGCGCAACCCUUAUCUUUAGUUACUAACAGGUCAUGCUGAGGACUCUAGAGAGACUGCCGUCGUAAGAUGUGAGGAAGGUGGGGAUGACGUCAAAUCAGCACGGCCCUUACGUCCGGGGCUACACACGUGUUACAAUGGGGGGUACAGAAGGCGGCUACCUGGUGACAGGAUGCUAAUCCCAAAAACCUCUCUCAGUUCGGAUCGAAGUCUGCAACCCGACUUCGUGAAGCUGGAUUCGCUAGUAAUCGCGCAUCAGCCAUGGCGCGGUGAAUACGUUCCCGGGCCUUGUACACACCGCCCGUCAAGCCAUGAAAGCCGGGGGUACCUGAAGUACGUAACCGCAAGGAGCGUCCUAGGGUAAAACUGGUAAUUGGGGCUAAGUCGUAACAAGGUAGCCGUACCGGAAGGUGCGGCUGGAACACCUCCUUUCU
RNAcentral lists this ribosomal RNA (1536 nucleotides) under Bacteroides ovatus. RNAcentral describes it as "bacterial SSU rRNA". It matches the Rfam family "Bacterial small subunit ribosomal RNA". Lineage: Bacteria; Pseudomonadati; Bacteroidota; Bacteroidia; Bacteroidales; Bacteroidaceae. The record is from RNAcentral.